CGUACAUAUCACGGAAUCAAUGCAUUCCUCUUUAAAAUAAUAAUUUAAAAAUCGAAAUACAACUGGCUCCUCCGGUUUUGGAAACAGACUGUGGACCCACAUUGCUCUCCAGUCAACUUACACCUUCCAUAUCCUGUACACCUUGAAUAGUGAGAUAAUGCUUCUCAUAACUUAAUAUAUCUUGAGAAUAGUCUUACUUUCCAAUUACUAAAAAAAAAAGAAGGGGGAAGGUGAUCUAAAGACACUGUUUUGUGCUACAGAUAGUUCCUUAACGAUACAACAUACCUUUCCACAUGGAAAGGCGGAAGGGCCCAUCUUGGGCUAAAAUCAAAUGCUCACCGUCUGGCAAACAGGAAGGUGUAGAAGAGGAAACAGACUGAUGUAGCCAGCUCCAUGCUUCCUCUCACCCAGAAAUGGAGCAGUCUUCUUCAAUGUGGUGAAAGCUACGUAGUUUACGUGUGAAAGGGCUUUAACGAUAAAAAGUCGGCGCAUGGUCCAUUUUGAUCAAAGUGGUGGUGCCAUUUUUCUAAGCCACCGUGGUAGUAUAUAGUAGGUAAUCAAUCACUGAAUACACUCCUUGAAAAAAUUCACUUAUUUUGUUCACCUACCACUGGUUUCCCUAACCCACUGGUUCUCAAAGUGUGGUCCCUGGACCAGGAGCAUCAGGAAUGCAAAUACUUGGGCCUCACCCCAUACCUACUGAGUAGAAACUGGGUGAGGCCCAGCGCUGUGUGUUUUAUCAACCUCCCCCUCCCACCAGCAGGAAACUAGGGUGUGCGUGCUCAACACGGGGGAGAACCACUGACCUGACCUGUUUUUACCAAAGCCCUGUGGUCUGCAGUCAGCGAUUUUAAAAACAGAUCAAGUUUAACCAAGAAAAGCUUGAUUUUAAUAAUUACACGCAUAGAUCUAUUAGCAGAAAUUAAAGAAAAAAUAAUCUAUUUACACUUUCCUCUGUAUUGCAUCCCAUGCAUACUUAAACUUUCUUUUUCUUUUGAAGAAACAUGUAUAUCUUGGAGUAAACUACAGACAAACAACGUGAUGGAACAUACUAUACUGAAAAGAUUAGUGAACUGGUUCAUCUCUCUCCCAAGUGGAAAUUGAGAAGAAGGAUUUCUAGCCCUGGGACCACAGAACAGGAAGCAACAGCUGUUGCUGGGGCCUUCGGUUUGAAAACAGCUACUGAGACCGACACACUUGCUCUGUGCGCUUUCUAGCAGGGGAUCCUUGAUUUCCUCCAGUGAUGAAGGACCUCACUGGAAAAUAAGCGUCCGUUCCCAAAAAUGGACCCUUAGGUCAAGCGGCACAGCCAUCCUACAGCCUAAGCUCUAGGUGACGAGAGCCUGCAGACGUGGCUGGCGCUUCUCAGGAAGACAGGUGAUGAACCAUCUGACCCGGCGCGCUCUGCUGUCAGGGGCUGCCCACGGCUUUUCUUGACUUCUUAGGGCGGCCCAGCUUGCUUAAUAAUUUCUAGCACCCUCAUGGCGAAAAGUGUUUGUGCAACAGCUGUCAGCUGCUGUUCUCCAUGCUCCCGGCACACGGCACGAAGCCCAGGGCCUCUAUCGGUGCCACGCUUGGCUCCGAGUUGCCUCUGCCGUACCCCUGCCGGGCCAGGCGGCCAGGGCGUCCACCAGCCUGACCGGCCGCUGUGACGAGCAAGGCCAAGGCGGAAGAAGGUACCUGCUAAAGGCGCCGGUCACCCCAGGUGUGGCGGAAGGGCACUGGCGGAUCUGGAGGAAGGCAGAAGAAGGUGUGGACGUACCAGGUUCUGAAAGGGGCUGGCAGGGGCACAGGCUGAGGCAGGAGGCCCUACAGGACAAAAGGCCCUUCCGGGAGCCAAGGAGGACCCGCCGGUGGUGGGUGCUAGCGGAGGCGCCUACAUCUAGCUCUCCGCGGGAAGACUCAGCCAGCGCUUGGCUGAGCAGCAGCAGAAAGGCCAGCAGGGGAGUGGACAGCCAUCCCGGGAAGGGGGCCGGCUGCAGGGACCUCCUGGUGGAGGCUGCAGGGCGGGGGCCCAGGAGGCGGCUACCAUAAGCGGGGCACGCGGCAUGGCUGGUUUGGGUCCGCGAGCUCACCUAUGGCCCAUCCAGGGCUGAAACCGAGGUCUGGGUAUGAAAAUCCCAGCAGCUGCGAACUUUCACUUGGCCUGGCACACACUCCUACAGCUCACGGAUGCAGCGCACUCUGACUUCAGCCGCGGUUCUGCCAGGUGUGGGACCCUGACUGGCGGCACGGGCCUCACCUGGGAGCUGGGGGGAAAUGCAUUCUCGGACCCGCUCCAGACCCACUGAACCACAGAGCCUGGGGCGCCAGCAGUGUGUGUUUGCACAAACUCUCCACAACAGCCGGAUGCCUGCUCGAGGAAGCAUGGGACCGACGUUUUGUUAGUAUUCCUGGCAAUCAGAUGACACACAGUGCCUCCUAUCAUCACUGUGGCUACUAAAGUAAUGAGUAAUAGCCAACAAUCAGUCACCGGGCGCCUCCCAUGGGAUCUGUGUGCCCCUGAGAUCCAUGACAAACCUCCUGAUGUGUACAGGAUUACGCCAUCCCCAAUUUUUGGACGGGCAGACUGAUGCUUGGGGUACAUGGUGCAGGACCAAACAGGAGGCAGAGAGCAGUCGGCCUACCCUCUUCGGACGUGCUGACUCAUGCUCUCAGUCGCUACGCAAACCCGUGUCUCCUAGGAGGAGCUCGUGUCUGCCAACACCUGGCUCAGAAAUUUUCAUCCCCAUAACCCUGUACACCCUCACUUUGCAAACCUAACCUCCAGGUUUUGGAUGUGUCCCCGUUUCCCGCCUUCCUGUUGCAAAAGACGAAUCUAGAAGCUUAUGGCAGCACCACUUCUGUGGGGCACUGGCUGACCGUGAAGACACCUUAUUCAGCUGAGGGGAUUCAGUGAAAUGGUUACCAGUCCUGCCCUGAGCGAGCUGUCAGCUGAGGACUUGUCAAAGGUCUAUCCAUGUUGUUGCAAAUGGCAAAAUUUCAAACUAAUAUAACACAGAAACUUGGGACUUCCCUGGUGGCACAGUGGUUAAGAAUCCACCUGCCAAUGUAGGGGACACGGGUUCGAGCCCUGGUCCAAGAAGA
Molecule: long non-coding RNA, 3087 nt
Organism: Physeter macrocephalus (sperm whale)
Lineage: Eukaryota; Metazoa; Chordata; Mammalia; Artiodactyla; Physeteridae
Exons: 3
Source: RefSeq, a predicted model, not a curated record